GCCAGGCGUGGUGGCGCAUGCCUGUAAUCCCAGCUACUUGGGAGGCUGAGGCAGGAGAAUCGCUUGAACCCGGGAGGCGGAGGUUGCAGUGAGCCGAGACUAUACCACUGCACUCCAGCCUGGGCAACAGAGUAAGACUCUGUCUCAA
Molecule: non-coding RNA, 148 nt
Filed under: Nomascus leucogenys (northern white-cheeked gibbon)
Lineage: Eukaryota; Metazoa; Chordata; Mammalia; Primates; Hylobatidae
Source: Rfam by way of RNAcentral